GGGGUCGUCUAACGGCAGGAUCUCUGGUUCUCAGCCAGAGGAUGCGAGUUCAACUCUCGCCGGCCCUACCA
This 71-nucleotide transfer RNA is filed under the name Terriglobia bacterium. RNAcentral describes it as "tRNA-Glu". It matches the Rfam family "tRNA". Rfam says of the family: Transfer RNA (tRNA) molecules are approximately 80 nucleotides in length. Their secondary structure includes four short double-helical elements and three loops (D, anti-codon, and T loops). Further hydrogen bonds mediate the characteristic L-shaped molecular structure. tRNAs have two regions of fundamental functional importance: the anti-codon, which is responsible for specific mRNA codon recognition, and the 3' end, to which the tRNAs corresponding amino acid is attached (by aminoacyl-tRNA synthetases). tRNAs cope with the degeneracy of the genetic code in two manners: having more than one tRNA (with a specific anti-codon) for a particular amino acid; and 'wobble' base-pairing, i.e. permitting non-standard base-pairing at the 3rd anti-codon position. The record is from RNAcentral. Lineage: Bacteria; Pseudomonadati; Acidobacteriota; Terriglobia.